AUGAGCAAAGCACUUAACCCACGGUACCAGGGCCUCUCAACCUAUGAAAAGGAGUACCUGCCAAUAAUUGUUGCAGUUGACCAGUGGCGACCAUAUCUCCAGGAUGAUGAAUUCAUCAUCUCAACGGAUCAACGCAUCCUGGUUCAUCUUAACGAGCAGUGCCUCACGACCCCAUGGCAGAAGAAGGCUUUUACCAAACUCUUGGGGCUGCGGUUCUCAAUUCAUUACAAGAAGAGGAGCGACAACACUGCAGCCGAUGCACUGUCAAGGGCCCACACCUCUGAGAUCCUGCACACAGUCAGCUCCUGUCAGCCUGCCUGGCUUGAGGACAUCAUCACUAGCUAUAACAUCAAUCCUCAAGCACAGCGCCUCCUCGAGCAGCUCGCGAUCCGCGAGGAUCCUAAGGUCCGGUUCACUUUGAAGCAAGGAAUCCUACAUUUUCGAGAUAUAAUAUGGCUCGGAGGAUCGACAGAGAUGCAACAACACAUCAUUUCAGCCUUCCACGAUAGUGCCAUGGGGGGGCACUCAGGCUUUCCGGUGACCUACCGCCGCAUCAGAAGGCUAUUCGCUUGGCCGAAGAUGAAAGCUCAUGUCUUACAGUAUGUGCGCUGCUGCGAGGUUUGUCAGCAAGCAAAACUUGACUGUAGCGCAUCUACAGGCCUGCUUAUGCCACUUCCUAUACCUCACGAGUCAUGGGACCUGAUCACGAUGGACUCUGUGGAUGGCUUACCACAAUCAGGACAGUUCAAUUGCCUCCUGGUGGUAGUGGAUAAACGCACCAGGUUUUCUCAUUUUCUGCCCCUGGCGCACCCUUACAGCGUAGCAAAGGUGGCUUUGCUUUACAUGCAGCAGCUCUACAAACUGCGCGGGUUCCCUGGUGCCAUUAUUUUCGAGCGUGAUCCAGUUUUCACCAGCCAUUUUUGGCAAGAGUUGUUCAAAUAUGCAGGUACGGAGCUACGCUUGAGCACGACAAAUCACCCGCAGACAUACGGCCAAACUGAGAGGGUGAAUCAGUGCAUCGAGACAUACUUGCGAUGUUUCGUCCAGACGUUUCCCAAAUGCUGGAGCUUCUGGAUACCACUGGCGCAGUUCUGGUACAACACCUCGCACCACUCGGCAAUCGGCAUGACUCCUUUCAAGUCCAUGUUUGGACGGGAACCAAGGCACUAG
Molecule: ribosomal RNA, 1170 nt
Filed under: Triticum aestivum (bread wheat)
Lineage: Eukaryota; Viridiplantae; Streptophyta; Magnoliopsida; Poales; Poaceae
Description: partial small subunit ribosomal RNA
Source: RNAcentral